Pseudophryne corroboree (corroboree frog) is the source of this 370-nucleotide long non-coding RNA. RefSeq lists it as uncharacterized. The transcript has 3 exons. The record is from RefSeq and is a predicted model, not a curated record. NCBI's taxonomy places the organism in Eukaryota, Metazoa, Chordata, Amphibia, Anura, Myobatrachidae.
GUAUGUUUAAGGACUUCUAUACGAUCAUUAUUGAUGACUUUCUUUGCAAAUUUUUGUGAUUAAGGACCCUGAUAGGGUUUGUUUACAGAAAAAGACUCACCAAGGUAGCUGUAUGCUUAUUGCCCUAUAUAAACUCCAAUCUUGUGGUCCUGUCCUUUUUUUGUGAAUAACCCCGAUGAAGUUGUUAAGAUGAAACACGUAGGGUCUGUCAGCUAUGAGUCACCAAUCCAGAUUGUGAAGAUUCUCUCUUUUGAGCUCACACCUUGUGAAGGCGAGGGAGGAUCUAAUUUGCCAUCUACACGAUCUGGACUUCUCUCACUGAUAUACAAAUUUUAUUUCUGUACAACAUUUUCAUUGUGUAUGGUAAAUA